UUUUAGCCCUGAUAGUAGUGGAAAUCCUUUUUCUGUCCGCCGCGGCGGACAGAAAAGAUUACUUCACUUAAUUCAUAUUUAAUCGGAGUUCAGUGAACUUCGUUUGCAACGAAUAGCAGGAUUAGCU
Molecule: small RNA, 127 nt
Filed under: Flavobacterium sp. ov086
Lineage: Bacteria; Pseudomonadati; Bacteroidota; Flavobacteriia; Flavobacteriales; Flavobacteriaceae
Description: Flavo-1 RNA
Rfam family: Flavo-1 RNA
Source: RNAcentral